GACGAACGCUGGCGGCGUGCCUAAUACAUGCAAGUCGAGCGGAGUUAGAGAAGCUUGCUUCUCUAACUUAGCGGCGGACGGGUGAGUAACACGUGGGCAACCUACCUUGUAGAUUGGGAUAACUCCGGGAAGCCGGGGCUAAUACCGAAUAAUCCAUUUUGCUUCAUGGCGAGAUGUUAAAAGGCGGCUUCGGCUGUCGCUACGAGAUGGGCCCGCGGCGCAUUAGCUAGUUGGUAGGGUAAUGGCCUACCAAGGCGACGAUGCGUAGCCGACCUGAGAGGGUGAUCGGCCACACUGGGACUGAGACACGGCCCAGACUCCUACGGGAGGCAGCAGUAGGGAAUCUUCCACAAUGGACGAAAGUCUGAUGGAGCAACGCCGCGUGAGUGAAGAAGGUUUUCGGAUCGUAAAACUCUGUUGUAAGGGAAGAACACGUACGAGAGUAACUGCUCGUACCUUGACGGUACCUUAUUAGAAAGCCACGGCUAACUACGUG
This 496-nucleotide ribosomal RNA is filed under the name uncultured bacterium. RNAcentral describes it as "bacterial SSU rRNA". It matches the Rfam family "Bacterial small subunit ribosomal RNA", at positions 28 to 507 of the family's 1533-position model. The record is from RNAcentral.